Molecule: ribosomal RNA, 414 nt
Filed under: Triticum aestivum (bread wheat)
Lineage: Eukaryota; Viridiplantae; Streptophyta; Magnoliopsida; Poales; Poaceae
Description: partial small subunit ribosomal RNA
Source: RNAcentral
AUGCACUACCCUAAUACUAAAGUUCUUAAUCUGCCUAUUAUUCUUAGUGAUCAUGCUCCCAUUUUAAUGUCGACAGAGGGCAACUUUGUUAAACCCAGACAAGCCUUUAAAUUUGAGAAUUGGUGGCUGAUGGAAAAGGAUUUUGCCAAUUUUGCUAAAUCUUCCUGGAACAAUUGUUCUCUUACUUCUUUUGCAGCCAAGACUUCUUCUUUGGCAGGUUCACUUAAAGUGUGGUGCAGGAAAAAGAAGUCCCUACAAAUUGAUCUUUUGGAGCUAGAAGAACAGCUCAAUCAGCUGCAACAACUACCAUCUCAGCAGCAGGACCAUGCUCUUGAAGGUGCUUUCACGGUCAGGUAUGAGCAGACUAUUUCCAAGCUUAAUCAGUUUUACAAGCAACGCAGCAAGAAAAAUUAG